Molecule: small nucleolar RNA, 109 nt
Organism: Sorghum bicolor (sorghum)
Lineage: Eukaryota; Viridiplantae; Streptophyta; Magnoliopsida; Poales; Poaceae
Rfam family: Plant small nucleolar RNA R71
About the family: R71 is a member of the C/D box family of snoRNAs containing the C (UGAUGA) and D (CUGA) box motifs. Multiple nearly identical copies of this snoRNA have been identified in Arabidopsis, and it is thought to function as a 2'-O-ribose methylation guide for 18S ribosomal RNA.
Source: Rfam
AUCCCAUGAUGAGGAGAGUCUUCAAUGUAAUUCUGGAAUCUUUCUCAUGCUUCAGUGAAUGAUUCAUGAUGUUGUUGUUGGAAACUUGCAAUCUUCCUACAUAGAGCAU